This is an RNA transcript of Scylla paramamosain (green mud crab), 2515 nucleotides long. RefSeq lists it as uncharacterized. Lineage: Eukaryota; Metazoa; Arthropoda; Malacostraca; Decapoda; Portunidae. The record is from RefSeq and is a predicted model, not a curated record. The transcript has 4 exons.
UACUCGUAUUCUUUUUGUCAACAGACCUUCACUAAAUACCGAUAUUUGAAGUAAGUCCCAUGACUUCCUCGUGUGCCGGAAAAGAGGUUCCCUGGGUGGAGUGGGCAUGCCUCAUAAACAGGAACACUUGCCACGGAUGUCCGCCCCUUCCUCUUGUAUAGAGCCACACUGGUGACGCCCGACGGCGGGAGGGAAGAAGUGGAGGUGUACUUGUCUCCCAGUCCGCGCCAUGAGGCGUUGGUGGUGCAGGAGUUGGACAGCAUGGCUGGGAUACCCAGGGUGUACGGCGUCACGAAGCCAGGCUCGGAAACCCUCGUCCUAGGCCGUACCAAGGGACUCACGCUGGAUUACUGGCUGGAUGAAGGUCACACCGCCAUCUGUAUGACCGCCCUCCUGCAUGUCUGCAAGAUUAUCUCACGAAUGCAUUACUUAGGCAUCAGUUACGGGAACCUGUCGGUCACUAACAUCCUCGUGGGCGUUAAGGACAGCGGUCACCUUGAUGUUUCGUUGCUUGGCUUCCACCGAGCAAAGAGGAACGCUACAGAGGAGGACAUCAGGGGCGAUGACAAGCAGAUGUUCAAUCUUAUCAGGGAUAUCAUCGAAGAUAUUAAAGAAGAGUCUUUCCGCAACAUUCGCGAUGACCUCCGGCAUCUUUUCGAGGACAUUGUUGGUGUGCUCACGCUGGUGGAAAUAGUGCUGCUGUUGUGUGGAUUCCUGAAUAAACCACCCCAAAUGGACUCUUUCCCCCCCUUACCAUCCCAUGAUGCCCUAAAUGUAAAGGUUGAUAACAAGAGGUCGGUCGACGGCUGCACCGCAAUCACUGUCUGUCAAACGAAUUCUGCUUGACAGAAAAGCAAGUUAAAUCAAUCAAUCAAUGAAUUAUACUAAGGCUAAAGAAAUUAUAGCGUAAUAAUACAUAUCACAGCAUCCCAGAGAACCAUAAGAACAAGUAUAUUUACAAAUGAUGAAAAUUAAGAAAAAAAUAUUGAGUAAAAUCCUGGAAUAGCUCUCACCCGCUCCCUGCCAACACUGGAGCGUCAGGCAACAAAUGGCAAGGCAAUGUUUGCAGCGAUUCAGGAAGCACGAUUACGGAACCUCUCCUUGCAUUUACUUAAUACCAUGGCGGAAGUGUGAGUGGAGCAAACAAAGGAGUGGCUAGCGGCGGUGAUGGUCCAGACAGAGGGUAACGGUACACCAAACGUCUUUCCUGGGGUACACUUGACGGUACGCGACACGAGAUGUUAGACCAGCCAAGCCUUUUCUUCUUCCUCCACAUGAGGCUGGACGGGCUCGGCUGGCAGGUGGGCUGUGUCGCGCCUGGAGGGAGUUUGACGCAGACAUCGACAAUAUCAUCUUACUAUCCACAACCUCCAAGCUACUAGAAAUACCAAUCUCACUACCGGUCCUCCACGCUACCAACACACCAAGCUCCUUAUCUGAUCCAGCAGUGGCAAAUAUCAAGUAAGGCAAGCAUCAUCAUCAACUGGAGCCAAUACAUCAUCUAAAUCAGGAACAGUGGUGGAGAGAAGUCGCAUCAAUUCCAGAACAGUGGAUUUGAGUACAGAACAUAUCUACGUUACAUUCAAGGAUGACAAACUUACCUACGAAUUUGUUGCUUACCACUGCGGAAGUCACUCGAAACAGGAAACACAUCUACCACUUCAGUUUAUAAACCAAAAAAUUCGUAGAUGGGUUUAUCAUCCUUGAAUGUAACGUAGAUGUGUUCCUUACUCAAUCCUGGGCGUUGGUGUAGAGCUGGUAUAGCGCCACCAUCCCUGGGCCUUGACAUAGAAGAGAGUGGCCAGUUCCUUCCUCCACCGCCAUAUUUGUUGCUUUGAACGUUUUGCAGCGGCGCCAUAUGAUGCUGAGGCGCCGUAAAUUAAAUCAGAUCAAAAUACUCCACUGCCUUUACGUUACGUUCAAUAAUGAUUAACUCGAAUUCAAAGUUUAUGUUUUCAAAUAAAGCGGUAGAUGACUGGGAAAGCUUCUUGUUCUAUCCUAGUUACUAACACAAAGGAUCUAAUCUAUUUCUCCUUUGUGAUAUCUCGUAUACAACAUAUCAUACAAGCGCAAAUCCAGCCUUCCCAUGCUGUGUACCAUUGUUUCUGUUCCUCACCCAUUUAUGACUAUACGCUCGUGUCUGGAAUUUACCUGAGGGAUAAUUAACGCUGGUAACAUGGAAUGGGCUUGUGGCGCUGUGCGGUGACAGCGGAAUGGCCAAAUUUAAGCUUGACAUAUUUCGUAUAGCUCUGCCCUUGCCUGAAACAAAUAAGCCUCAUUAAAACUAUUCCUUUGGCAGCCUCACCCUUAGUGUCCCCGUCAGGAUAUCGCCAGCCAUUCCUCUCCUCCCCUCGUAUACAGGAACACCCCAUCUCCGUGCAAUCAGGGAAGGAAUGCGGCGGUGCAGAACUUGCCUUUCGUCACCAGCUUCCGUCUCGCCGAGGCCCGUAUUCUGAAACACUUUGUUCUCUCACCUCGACCAUUUUCAAAGGCCACAGAGAUGGUUAACCGGGUU